RNAcentral lists this unclassified non-coding RNA (7659 nucleotides) under Mizuhopecten yessoensis (Yesso scallop). RNAcentral describes it as "ubiquitin carboxyl-terminal hydrolase 10-like, transcript variant X1". Lineage: Eukaryota; Metazoa; Mollusca; Bivalvia; Pectinida; Pectinidae. The record is from RNAcentral.
UGAGCCGAAAAUUUUACCCAACAUGGCGGCAAAGAAGCGUGUUUUGUGACACAUCAGAAAUUCCUUUUCACCAUGGCUUACCAAACACAGGAUUUAACGUUUGGGGACUUCGAUACCCUGGACCAACAUGAGCAGAACAACAUCAGAAAGAUUCUGUAUGGGCCACGCAGUUCUACGGGAGAUAGAAAAGUGGAGUUCCCCUGGGAUGAAUCCAGAGGUAGCAUGUUCCAAAAUGACACUGCCCAGGGAGGAGACAUGGUGGCCCCACCAGAGACAAACUGUAUGCCAGUGAAUAUGAACACAGACCCCAUCCCUAAUUAUCAACAUUACCAUAGUGACGGCCCUCCACAGCAGCAGUACCAACAGCAUAUGGAGGUCAUCCAUGAACAGAUGAACUCACAAGAAAAUGAAGAAUAUAGACAGGCUUAUCAGGAAGGUCAGCAGGAUGAAUUUUAUGGAAACCAGUUUCCUAGAGAGGAUCAGACUUACCGAGCUUCUUCAGUUGAAUUUGGUUACGACCCAAGUCAGUCAGAAAUGUCCCAGGGUGGAGGAAAACAACGUAGGAACAAAAAGAAACGUCCUCCUGGUUAUUACGAAAAGUUGGAGGAGGCUGAGAGAAAGUCUCAGACUGACCUUGUCCAGUCCAAUGUGGGAAACUGGGCAGACAGUGCAAUUGGACAGGUCUCACCUCAAAACUUUUCUUUUAUGCCACUCAAUUACCCGCCAGUACCUGCAGAGGUACGACACAUGGGUUCACCUGUAUCACAACAUACACCGCCUCCUUACCAUGAGCAGAGACCUCCUGGAAUUGGCAUGGUCCCCCCAUCAGUCCAGGAACGGCCCUUCCCCCAGCAAGGUGCCCCUCCCGCCAUGGUCAGGGUACAUCCCUCACAAACAAUGCACCAGGGCUCUAUUCCUCAACAGGAUCCUGCUGUGAUGGCCACAGGAAAUGCACCAGAUGCCAGGCAUGGGGGCUCUCUUCCAAGGGAGGGAGCCCAUUUGGGGACAGUGAACAACCCACAGAUAUUGCGAGAAGCUUCUCUCCCCCGAGAGGAAGCACGCAUGGGUAUAAUGGACCAAUCUCAGACAUAUCGUGAAACAUCAUUCCCCAGUCAUGGCCCACCACCACCAAUGGGCAACAUGGCAAUGGGGUCAUAUCCCACCCCUGUUCAGCAGAAUAUCAAUAGAAACAUGAGCAGUGUUCCACCAUCACGUCAGAAUCCAGCAGUAAAUUAUACCUACAGUUCAUCUCCCCAGGCCUCCCAUCAUAUGGACCAGGGUAGCCAUAAUGUCCCACCUGAAAAUUCAUCCACAUCUUAUCUUCCACAACAUAUCUCUAAUCCACAGACUGUACAGCAUCUAACUAAUCCACCUGUGGAUCGUGAGUUAGAAAAUGUGUCGCACCAAAUGUCUGAUCUCAGUGUGUCACAAAACACAAGGGGAGAAAACCCUAGCUAUGCACAUCAUCAUCAACAUCAUCACCAUCAGGGUCCACAGACUGAUAAUACAGUCUAUAAUUCUAACAAUGUAAUUCCUGUCAUGGAAAACAAACCAGCAGAUUCUAAUACAGGUGUUCGUGUAAACAGACCACCAGGAUUUAAUGCUCCUAGUUAUCAUCUUAACCAAUCAGUGGCAGCUGCAGUUUCAUUAAACUCCAUUGACUUUAAUAUACAAGACAAUUAUGAAAAACAGCCCUCACCACCAAGAAAUACUCCCACAGUGCAGGCUGAUCAACAAGUGGUGCCACCUAGUGAACAGUAUAUUGUAAAUGUUCAACUCGGUGAACCUAAUCAAACAGUCGGUGAAUCUGAUCGCCAAGUCAUUGAACCGGUUCACCAAGUCAGUGAGUCUGUUCACCAAACUAAACCAGAACCAAUUAUAGAAAGUGUGAAUAGUGAUUAUAGUAAUGUAGUUAACGAAUUACCAGACUCUAGUGAUGUAAACACCGUUCAACAAGGAAGUGGCGAUCUCAAGCUCGCGAAUGUAAGUAGUCCUAGUCUUCCAAUUCAGUCGGAACAGCCGAAACCUGUUAAAGCACCGACAUGGGCUGGACUAUUCAAAAACGUGACCCCGCCCACAUCAGGGCCUGUUGCUUACAGUGUCACACAUGUGGAUACCUCACCUCCUCCAUCCGAGGUGAAACAGAAUGUGACGAAAGACAUGAAUGUACCCAAUGAUCCGGUAUCUACAGAGGAUGACAAGCUUGCCAGGAAUUUCGGAGAGGCCCUGAGUAUCAUGACUGUUAGCCACGUACAGGUAGGACUGACCCCUCGUGGACUGGUCAACCGUGGUAACUGGUGCUACAUCAAUGCUACACUGCAGGCUCUGGUGGCCUGUCCCCCUUUCUGUGAUCUCCUGCGCCGGAUGCCAAAGUACAACAGGGAGGAAAGAGGCCCCAGUAGUACUCCAGUCUUAGACUGCAUGGUGGAGUUUGUAAAUGAAUUCUCGCCAUACGUCCGGAAUACUGACAGAGGAUCACAAAAAGGCCGUAGGAUGUAUCAGGACAUAAGCACGGGGAAGGAGUUUGAGCCGGUGAAUGUCUACAAGAUGUUACAAGUCAUGCAGGCAAACCAGACAUUUAAGCUGGGUCGUCAGGAGGACGCUGAAGAGUUCCUUAGCUGUAUUCUGGAUGGACUACAUGAGGAGAUGGCUUCUGUCAUGCAACUGGUCAACAAUACACGCGACUCCACACCAGAAACAGAGGCUAACGGCUUUGACCAGGAGGAAGAUGCAGAAUCGGAGAUGUCUGAGGAUUCCUGGGAACAAGUUGGACCCAAGAAACGAAGUGCUCUUACGCGCAAGGCUAUGUUUUCAAAGAGCCCUAUUGCAGACAUCUUUGUGGGGUACAUGAGGUCUGCUGUGUUUAAAUCUGCCGCCAAGGAGUCCGCCACUCUCCAGCCAUUUUUCACCCUACAGCUGGACAUACAGGCGGACACUGUGCACACUGUUCGGGAUGCCCUAGAGGGACUGGUGCUGAAAGAAUCCAUCAGUGGCUACACUUGUACCAAGACAAAGCUGGAGUUGGAGGUUGCCAAGAAGGUCACUCUGGAGGAACUCCCACCUGUCCUUGUCAUGCACCUCAAGUAUUUCGUCUUCAACAAAGACGGAGGGUCACAGAAACUUCUCAAGAAGAUCGACUAUCCCAUAGAUCUGGAAAUCACUAGAGAUCUACUUUCCCCCAAUGUCAAAUCAAAGCUCCAGCUUCACCAGAGAUCAUACAAACUGUUUGCUGUUGUGUUCCAUCAUGGGAAGAUGGCUACUGGUGGGGGUCAUUACACCACGACAGUAUUUCAUCCUGCCAUUAAUGGCUGGAUUAGCCUGGAUGAUAAUAGCGUGAAGCCAGUCAACCUACCAUUUGUUCUCAAGUACAACCCUCCCCGCGUACCGUAUCUGCUUUACUAUCGACGUACGGAUGUACACUAGCCAUCAAAUUAGUAUGCUUAUGUGUAGCUCUCACCUCUUACCACUUUCCCUCACUGCCAGAGUAAUAAUCUAGCCAGUGUUGUGUCGAUUAGAUAAACUGAUGAAAGAUAUGUUAUCUCAACUGAUGCAUACAAAGUGUCAGACAAAGUGGCAUCCAAACAAAGUGGCAUCCACUUUGUAUCACACCCGAGACAGCACUGAUAUGUGUGUAGGGGGCUGUAAUGACCGGCACAACAGUUGUGACAAACAGUUAUUUGUGAAAAUAAUAAUUUCAUUCAAAAUCCUAUGUGUUCUGGGGAGAGAAAUGCAGGGAUGUGUUGACACUGCGACCUCUAUAGUAGACAGGAAUCGUCAAAAUGUGGUGUAGUGUGUUUGGGAACAAAUUUAUAGACCUUGUGAAUGACGUCAUUCUUAUGUUAAGGAUGGAAGGAUAGAAUAUUUAUUGUUGAGUUCUACAGAUACAAUUAACUGAUUAACCUUGGAGACAUCAUGUGGCAUUCUCCAACACUGGUUCACAUACAGACUAAUGGUCUCUCUAAGGUCUCAACGACCAGAGAACAUAACCAGGUAUAUUUGUUUUGUUGACGAUAGUUUGAUGAAUACAUACUGUUAAAUAUUGUUACAUUCAUGGUUAUUUGGGUUUGUAAUUUUACCGCUUGGCAAGAUUGUAAAUGCUGACUGCACUAAGGCUUGCUGUGUGAAAGUGAAAGUUGAUAUUUUACCUGAAAUUAUGUAUAAAGGUAUGUUUCUAGUGUGUCAUGUUUACAUGGGUGUUAUGUGUUUCACAAGAGUGCAUGCAUGCUUGUGAUGAAUGGUCGUAAAAUAUAACAAUUCCCCUGGAACAAGAAACGUACCUCUGGUACGAUUAAUGUUUGUCAAGUAAAAGUAAAUCUGCAGUGAUCUGGAUAAAAUAUGUAGAUUUAUUAACCAUUGACAAAAUAGAAAAUGUCAACACCACAGUCGGUUCAAGGACAAACAAUACAAACAUUACCAAUUGCGAGAAUUUCCACUUUUUCAGUAGCUGACGAUUAUGUUAUAACACUUGUACCUAAUUAGUGUAUACCUGUGUAGUAGGAUAAACAUUGAUACACAGGUACGGUAAUGAGACGGUAGAGUAUACCUUAUGUCCAGGUAUUAGUAGGAUAAACAUUGAUACACAGGUACGGUAAUGAGACAGUAGAGUAUACCUUAUGUCCAGGUAUUAGUAGGAUAAACAUUGAUACACAGGUACGGUAAUGAGACAGUAGAUUAUACCUUAUGUCCAGGUAUUAGUUGGAUAAACAUUGAUACACAGGUACGGUAAAAACUGUGCCUGUGAGAAAUCGAUAUGAAAUGUGUGAAGAGAGAUUAAUAUUGUGUGGACAUAUUAUAUUAAACCAUGAUUCUAAAUAAAUAUAUAUAUAUAUAUCAAAAAGGUAUGUUUUAAGAAUAUAUUUUGUUGCCUAUUAAAUGCAUUGUCUAAGAUGAAAAUGAUAAUUGGAAAGGAAAUAUUGUAUUAACAAGGAAUAUUCUACGUUUAUUUGAUUUUUUCUUUUCUUUCUGCUAUACACUGUACUGAGGCAUUAUUGCUUUGUAUUUAUGAUAUUUUUGUCAAUUAUUUAUCUAUUUUGUGUUUGAAUUGUAUAAAAGAAUCAAUUGUGUGUAUGGGAUCUAUGCUACACUAAUAAAUCAGUGUUGUUGGCAUUAUAUACUUCAAUAUGUUUCUAUUCAAAAUUGUUCUUGAAUAGAAAUAAAAUUCGUAAAAAAACAAAAAACUCUUUUCCUAAAAUAUAAUGAUUCAACUGGUUUAUACAUUUUAUGAUGAAUAUAGAUUUUAAUAUUAAACAGCUUUAAUUUUCAUGCAAGGUUUCUCAUGGCACUGAACGUAUUUAGAGUAUACCUUCAGUGUUUCUCCAUAUAGCUUUGAAUCUAUUGUAAAGGUCUCUACAUUGACCCAGCCAUAUGGGAAAGGUUUCUUCAUCAUGGUCAACUUAUAUCUUAAAAUUGCUGUUUUUUUUUUAACAGAGAUGAGUUUAUUUGUUGCUUGAUAAUAGCGUUGAAUCCCUUAUAUACAAGUUUAGGUUUAAGAUCUUUUGUAAUUAGAUCAAUGGUGAUAAGAUCUUCAGAUCUAUUGUAACAAGAUCCUUAGAUAUAUGAUAAUCAGAUGAUACCAUAUAUGGUAAUAAUAUACAAGUUUUGGUUUAAGAUCUUUUGUAAUUAGAUCAAUGGUGAUAAGAUCUGAAGAUCCAUUGUAACAAGAUCCUUAGAUAUAUGAUAAUCAGAUCAUACCAUAUAUGGUAAUAAGAUUAAUGAUAACAAUCUUGUAUCAAAAUUUCCCUGCUUGGUUUGAUUGGCAAGCGACAGUUAGACUUUAUAUCGAGGGACAUGUGACAAACUAAUAAUGCUAUGACCGAGAAGCAUGGAGAACAAUGUUUAUUGAACUUUCAUCUGUAUACAAAUUGUAUCUCUGUAGAAAUAUUUAAUGUGUACAUUGAAUAAGGUAUGCUAUUUUAGAGGGUGCUUUUAUUACUAGCAUGUCCUUGCAUACAAAAACAUAUUCAGAUUUCAUACAUAUUUUUUCUAUGUAAUUUGUACAAUAAAUGUAGAAUUAAAGUGUGAAGGGAAUCUACAAUAUAUCAAGGAAUAUUUGUUGUAUAAAUGUUGUGUUUAAAUAUGACUUUUGGAUUAUCUAGGGAUGGUCCUUGUACCCUUUUUGUGCUCUGCAAAGUAAGUGUGAAAUGGAUUUAGUUUUUGUAUUGAGGUACAAGGUGUUCUGCAUUGAGUAUGUGGUCUGAGGGGGUCCAUCAUAAAUAAUGUAUAUAAAAUAUAUAUUUUCUGAUCAACUGUUUGUUGAUAAUUGAAAUGGUUUCUAGGUUUGCAGUGUUAUAAUAGCUACGUGUGGUUUUUCAAAUGGAGGAGGUAUCCUAGUGAUUGACAUCAUAAUCGUCUGGUGGCUAUUACAUUUUCCUCCCCUGGAUAGUUUGUAUUUAAUCAAUUGUGUAUAUAUGAUAAACAUAAUAAACAGGUGUUGAUUGAAUGUUUCUGUAUGCAGGAGUGUGUUAUUGCUAUAAUUUCUGGGCAAAUAUAGUAUUUAUUCUAAUAAAUGCCCAUGCAGUCUUUAUAUUUGCCUUCGAGAGAAGGACAGGGGUCUUCGUUGCAAUGGUAUUGCACCAAACUCAUAUGGAAGUUUUGCGCAACAUCAUAUUAAGUUACAAAAUACAACAUUUUGAUUUAACUAUGACUUUUAAUUCAGGUAGUUAAAUGAUGAAAUAGUCAAAGAAAAAACUGUUGAGAAGUUUAUUUGAUUAAAUACAGUAGUAACCAGUUUAUUUGAUUAAAUACAUUAGUAACCAGUUUAUUGAUGAAAGAGGUGUCCAAGUAUGAUAUCCAGUGAAACCACCUGGUUAUUUUAAUCAAUGUAUUAGUGAGUUUAUGAUAUUCACAUUGAGGAUUUCUUUGUUGAGAAAAAAUCACUAACAGUUUAGUGAUUCAUUAGCCUGCGAUUUUAACGAUACAAUGCAUCUCUUGAUUUGAUUAAUUACAGUUAUAAUCUGACAAGUCUUUGCUUGAGUUAUUUUGCCAUGCUCAAUUUUUCAUUCAGUCAUUUUUGUUUAUCUUAUCUUUUCUGAGUAUUAUCUAUGACAUUUGUUGCAUAUUGAAUAUUUUGUCAUCUAUUUCUUUUAAUAAUUGCUUUUUUUCUCUCUGUGCUGUUUUUCACUUCUAUCCUAUUUUAACUAUUCGCUUCUGGUAUUCAAGCAUCAGUAUUUAUAUUAUUGGAUGGAAGAGGUCGAACAUUUGGUGAAGAUAUGCUCUGGGAACCUCAUCACCGUGCACUACAAAGAACUCCUAGCUACCUGUUUCAAUGUAUCUUUCUGCUACAAAUACGUUUGAUUUCUUAACAGUUUGUAGAAUUUAUAAAUGGAAGGAACACAUUUUGUUCGUGGCAUUGUCUAUUCUUAUUUUAUUAAGAUUUUUAUUUGUUUCUUUGCGUUAUUAAAUAACUUGUUGGUAGAAAAACGACAACAUCCUUUUUAUGUGAUAUAAAGACACAUAUAAAAUAUGAGUUCUUUGCAAUGGAAGGAAAUGAAGUUUAAGUUGUUAAUCUCUCUAGCAGUGUUACAAAUGUUUUAAAGGAAUGACUUGUUUUUUGCUAGUUUUGUAGUCUAGGGUCGGGAAGUUUGAACGUCUAUCAGGAAGAAAGAGAGAAAGUUCAAAUUAAGAUGAAAUGAAAUUAAAUAAAAACCUUCCUUUUGGUCA